GCUGGCGGCGCGGCUCCGCUUCCCCCCUCGCGAGCCGGUGCCCUGGCCGGAGCGCGCUGGGCCGGACUGCUCUCUGUCUGCUCUCUUACAGCCAUUUUCCAGAUCAUUCAGAGUAUCAGGAUGGGCAUGUGAAGCAGCUCAUCGCAAAGCAAGACGUCUGCAUCCUCCUGAGAAUUGCAAUGAACUCUUCCCCGUGGUCGAUACCCUGAUCAAUCUUAAUUCAUUAUAACAGUUGCUCGAGAACAAUGUUCCGCAUUGGCCAUAUGUCAUUCCAGAUACCCUGCCCCUCCUACCCACUGUUCUACUUCUGUGUGCAACAUCUGCAGUUUAUGCAGAGCCUCUUGGCAGUAGGAACCUCCCAGCUGUUGCAGGGUCUGUGCCCGCGCAGCGGAGCCUCGGGCUGCGGGGAACGUGUGACCAAAGCAACGCGGCGCUACUCCCGCAAGGAGGGGACAGGCCGCGUCUCCGAGCAGGAGUUUGGUGGAUGAUGGCUUGUCCGUGUUGCUGUUCUCCGUUUCCUCAGGCAGCAGCAGGGGCCUGGGAGGUCUGGCUGGAUCUUACCCCUGCAAGAAGCUUUUACUCUCACAGUACAGUGAAAACUGCGCUUUACACAACUUCAGGGUGGAUUUUGGUGACCUAGCAGUUCUCAGCAUUUUAUAGCACAGUUUGAUUAAAGAAAAAUCUUCUACAAAACUUGGGCUACUUUAGUGCAAAUACUGUCUAUGCUGACAUUUCUGAUGCUUUGUCUAUUUAGUAGCUCAGACAUGCUUUUCCCCCCAUUAACAUCACUGGAUACCGCAGAACAGCAGCGUGUUGCUAGUCACGUGUAAACAGAUGUGCAGUGACCCUGCGCUUUGUUGUAGUUACAUCAUGAACAACAAUCCGUGUCUGAUGGACGAGGUUCCAAGCCUGAUAAUGACAUUUAUCAAAUAAUUACAUUCCGG
This 944-nucleotide long non-coding RNA is filed under the name Apteryx owenii (little spotted kiwi). RNAcentral's name for it is "lncRNA (ENSAOWG00000013774.1)". The record is from RNAcentral. Lineage: Eukaryota; Metazoa; Chordata; Aves; Apterygiformes; Apterygidae.